UUACGGUCACAUCACAUUGAAACACUAGUUCCCGUACGAUAACAAAGGUUAAGCAAUGUUGAAGUUGGUCAGUACCUAGAUGGGUGACCACUUGGGAAUACCAGGUGCUGUAAG
Molecule: non-coding RNA, 114 nt
Organism: Acanthosepion pharaonis
Lineage: Eukaryota; Metazoa; Mollusca; Cephalopoda; Sepiida; Sepiidae
Source: the annotation of a GenBank genome assembly